This 82-nucleotide transfer RNA is filed under the name Planctomycetota bacterium. RNAcentral's name for it is "tRNA-Leu". It matches the Rfam family "tRNA". Rfam says of the family: Transfer RNA (tRNA) molecules are approximately 80 nucleotides in length. Their secondary structure includes four short double-helical elements and three loops (D, anti-codon, and T loops). Lineage: Bacteria; Pseudomonadati; Planctomycetota. The record is from RNAcentral.
GCCCCGGUGGCGGAAUGGCAGACGCAGCGGAUUUAAAAUCCGUCGCCGCAAGGCAUUGUGGGUUCGACUCCCACCCGGGGUA